Long non-coding RNA from Oxyura jamaicensis (ruddy duck), 633 nucleotides. RefSeq lists it as uncharacterized. The transcript has 3 exons. The record is from RefSeq and is a predicted model, not a curated record. Lineage: Eukaryota; Metazoa; Chordata; Aves; Anseriformes; Anatidae.
CAUUGUUACAGAGCUGAAACUCCGUGUUUAGGGAGUAGACAACGGGAACGGGGCGGUUUGUCUGCUGGAAGGCAAUCGGGAUCAAAAAUCUGAAAUUGGGACAGCAAAAGAAAAAGUGCUCUCACCUCUGAACUUGGCCUGGGUCUUGAACUCGAUAACCAGCCGGCCAUCCUCACGGAUGUAGAUCCUGAUUAUCUGCAGCCGGGCUGAAAGGACACUGUCCGUCUGAAUCCCUGUGUGGUGCAGCAAGAACAGAGUCACUGGAGAGGCCGUGUGGCACAGCAAGUCCUCAAUCAAGGAGGUUCUCUGCUCCCACUGUGACCCUGAAGUUCAGUAAGUGAUGGUGGAAACCCUCACCGGGCUUCUCCAAAGAGGCAAGAAAGCUCAAGUUUGAGUCCAGAAUCAGGUAAGACUGUAUGCAUCACUCUAGACCCCUUAGUGUGUGGAUUUGAGUACCUGCAAUGGACAUAAAUGAAGCUGCCUGCAGUCUUUUGGGGCAUCCCAAUCUCACUAUAACGCAGGAAUUUGCACUUUUCAUUAAGCAGAUACACAAAAAGGUUAUCACUGGACUGUCAUUAAUGCACCUGACAAAAGGAGCUGUGGUCACAACUUCAGCUCAAUUUUUUUCCCAUU